AUUAAAAGCAUCAACUCUAAUCAUAAAAAAAAUUGAUGUUUGAACAAAAUCAUUAAAACAAAAUAAAAAAAGAAGAAACUGUGGAAUAAUCUUAUAUUUUAUAUUUUAAAAAUUUUAUAUGGUCCCAGCAAUAUAUAAUUCUUGAUAUGGAUGAAACCGAACAACUGAAAUUAUUUUCUAAACGUAUAUCGAAGCGCCCAGUUGUUUAUUCCAGGCUGGUUGUUGGUUUGCCGUAGCAGCCACGAUUUUGCUAAAUAAAAUCACUUUCGCGGGCAGCGAUACUCGGGGAAAUAAUUACGAGUGGUGGCGGGUUACGCGCGUGCACCAGCCUGGCUGCCUGGUGGUACAUGAUAUCGAUGAAAUACCGAUAAUCGAUUGCCCUCUACAAGGCAUAUAUCCGAUAGGUCGAUGGCUGAACACGCGCCUACCAUUCUAUACCCAGCAAUUUGUACCGGCGUGGCGCGGCGGUGGCAGCGGUGCACGCGAUUGCAUUAUAAUACUGCCGCGGCCCGCUUAUUAUUUACGAGCGGUGGCUGGUUGGCUUCAUGGGGUGGCAAUAUAUCGACACCCCGCGGAGUUUCCUCCUUUGGCUACUGGUUACCAUUCAUAAUGGAAUAUAAUGGCUCCCUUGGCCUAGGGGUUUAAUCCGCAGUCAGAGUGCAACAACCCCCUAUUGAUGUGUACUAGGCAAUUUCUCUACCUCUUUUUCUCAUUUACUUUUCUUAUAUCUAUUUCUAUAUAUUUCCUAUAUUUUUGUGUUUAUUUAUAUUUUAUACAUGAUGUUUUCGUUCAAAAAUCUUAUUUAAGUUAUUACUAUUUAUUUUAAAUCAAAGAUUAAAUUAUAAUUAAAGGUUAUGAAGGAAUUUAUUUAGCUUAAUAUUUUAUAUAAAGGAAAAA
Molecule: long non-coding RNA, 897 nt
Organism: Apis cerana (Asiatic honeybee)
Lineage: Eukaryota; Metazoa; Arthropoda; Insecta; Hymenoptera; Apidae
Source: RefSeq, a predicted model, not a curated record